UAACAAGGAUUCCCCUAGUAACUGCGAGUGAAGAGGGAAAAGCUCAAAUUUAAAAUCUGGCGGGCUCUGCUCGUCCGAGUUGUAAUCUGGAGAAGCGUUUUCCGCGUCGGACCGUGCAUAAGUCUCCUGGAACGGAGCGUCAUAGAGGGUGAGAAUCCCGUCCAUGGCACGGACCGCCGAUGCUUUGUGAUACGUUUUCAAAGAGUCGAGUUGUUUGGGAAUGCAGCUCAAAACGGGUGGUAAAUUCCAUCUAAAGCUAAAUAUUGGCGAGAGACCGAUAGCGAACAAGUACCGUGAGGGAAAGAUGAAAAGCACUUUGGAAAGAGAGUUAAACAGUACGUGAAAUUGUUGAAAGGGAAACGCUUGAAGUCAGUCGCGUCCGACGGAACUCAGCCUUGCUUCGGCCUGGUGUACUUUCUGUCGGACGGGUCAACAUCAGUUUUGACCGGUGGAAAAAGGCAGGGGGAAUGUAGCGUCGUUUCGGCGGCGUGUUAUACCCCCUUGCUGCAUGCAUCGGUCGGGACUGAGGACCGCAGCACGCCUUUUUGGCCGGGGGUUCGCCCCACGUACCGUGCUUAGGAUGUUGGCAUAAUGGCUUUAAGCGACCCGUCUUGAAACACGGACCAAGGAGUCCAACAUGCUUGCGAGUGUUCGGGUGGAAAACCCUUGCGCGCAAUGAAAGUAACAGUUGGGAACCUCCGCAAGGGGGUGCACCGACGCCCGGCCCUGAAGUUCUCUGACGGUGCUGCGGUAGAGCAAGUAUGCUGGGACCCGAAAGAUGGUGAACUAUGCCUGAAUAGGGCGAAGCCAGAGGAAACUCUGGUGGAGGCUCGUAGCGAUUCUGACGUGCAAAUCGAUCGUCAAAUUUGGG
Molecule: ribosomal RNA, 871 nt
Filed under: Phellinus lundellii
Lineage: Eukaryota; Fungi; Basidiomycota; Agaricomycetes; Hymenochaetales; Hymenochaetaceae
Description: eukaryotic LSU rRNA
Rfam family: Eukaryotic large subunit ribosomal RNA
Source: RNAcentral